This 463-nucleotide ribosomal RNA is filed under the name uncultured bacterium. Its description in RNAcentral is "partial 16S ribosomal RNA". It matches the Rfam family "Bacterial small subunit ribosomal RNA", at positions 28 to 507 of the family's 1533-position model. The record is from RNAcentral.
GAUGAACGCUGACAGAAUGCUUAACACAUGCAAGUCUUUGGCGAAGCUGUGCUUGCACAGCCUAGCCCAGGCGGACGGGUGAGUAACGCGUAAGGAACUUGCCCUGCAGUCAGGGCUAACAUACGGACACGACUGAUAAGACCAGGUCAAGUCAGGCGGACUCCUGUCCAGCCUGAUGAAAAGAGAUGCUGCAGGAGAGCCUUGCGUCCUAUUAGCUUGUUGGUUGGGUAACGGCCCACCAAGCGGAUGAUAGGUAGCCGGCCUGAGAGGGUGGACGGCCACAAGGGGACCGAGAUACGGCACUUACUCCUACGGGAGGCAGCAGUGGGGAAUAUUGGACAAUGGGGGCAACACUGAUCCAGCAAUUCUGUGUGCACGAUGAAGGUUUUCGGAUUGUAAAGUGCUUUCAGCAGGGAAGAAAAAAAUGACGGUACCUGCAGAAGAAGCGACGGCUAAAUACGUG